UAGUGGCAGACGGGUGAGUAAUGUAUAGGAAUCUACCUAGUAGUACGGAAUAAUUGUUGGAAACGACAACUAAUACCGUAUACGCCCUACGGGGGAAAAAUUUAUUGCUAUUAGAUGAGCCUAUAUUAGAUUAGCUAGUUGGUGGAGUAAUAGCCUACCAAGGCAAUGAUCUAUAGCUGAUCUGAGAGGAUGAUCAGCCACACUGGAACUGAGAUACGGUCCAGACUCCUACGGGAGGCAGCAGUGGGGAAUAUUGGACAAUGGGCGAAAGCCUGAUCCAGCCAUGCCGCAUGAGUGAAGAAGGCCUUUGGGUUGUAAAGCUCUUUUAGUGAGGAAGAUAAUGACGGUACUCACAGAAGAAGUCCUGGCUAACUCCGUGCCAGCAGCCGCGGUAAUACGGAGAGGGCUAGCGUUAUUCGGAAUUAUUGGGCGUAAAGGGCGCGUAGGCUGGUUAAUAAGUUAAAAGUGAAAUCCCGAGGCUUAACCUUGGAAUUGCUUUUAAAACUAUUAAUCUAGAGAUUGAAAGAGGAUAGAGGAAUUCCUGAUGUAGAGGUAAAAUUCGUAAAUAUUAGGAGGAACACCAGUGGCGAAGGCGUCUAUCUGGUUCAAAUCUGACGCUGAAGCGCGAAGGCGUGGGGAGCAAACAGGAUUAGAUACCCUGGUAGUCCACGCUGUAAACGAUGAAUGUUAAAUAUGGGAAGUUUACUUUCUGUAUUACAGCUAACGCGUUAAACAUUCCGCCUGGGGACUACGGUCGCAAGAUUAAAACUCAAAGGAAUUGACGGGGACCCGCACAAGCGGUGGAGCAUGUGGUUUAAUUCGAUGCAACGCGAAAAACCUUACCACU
This 847-nucleotide ribosomal RNA is filed under the name Wolbachia pipientis. Its description in RNAcentral is "bacterial SSU rRNA". It matches the Rfam family "Bacterial small subunit ribosomal RNA", at positions 93 to 978 of the family's 1533-position model. Lineage: Bacteria; Pseudomonadati; Pseudomonadota; Alphaproteobacteria; Rickettsiales; Anaplasmataceae. The record is from RNAcentral.